CAUAGUGUUGCGCGAAUAAUUGUAUCCCCUGUUUUAACCACUUAAACAUUGUUUGCUUUAAAGACCAUAGAAAAGAGUAAGAGAGGUGUUGUACGGAAGCAGAGCUCUGGAGCGUGAGGACAGACACUGACUGUAAUGAUGGACACGUGCUGAAGGACGGGAGGAAGACAAGCAUCAAGCGAUUUCCAGUGGAUGCCAUGACCUCCUCCAGGACAGCUGAAAGCAGCACAUCAUGCACAAGCUGUGGAAUCGUCUGAAUCCUUUCUGUCGCAGAGCAGUGGGACUUUCUACUGCAGUUCUCUUUGAGACCACAGGAGGAUGCUGCGACCUCCGCGUCCCAGUGAUGGGACAGUGGCACAUUAACUCUAGACUGAGAAAUCAAUCUCAAUCUGCUGAGGUUGUGUACGCAUGCUCUUUUUUUUUUUGGAUGAGGGAUUAUUUGAACGCGUAAAUCUUUUGAAUUUGCUUACCAGCAGUCUAAAUUCUGUUGUACUACAGGCAUGAGUAAGUGUCCAACGUGCAAAGUUUCAAAUAACUGCCCUGCUCAAAGCACAAAUAAAUG
This is a long non-coding RNA of Puntigrus tetrazona (Sumatra barb), 562 nucleotides long. RefSeq lists it as uncharacterized. NCBI's taxonomy places the organism in Eukaryota, Metazoa, Chordata, Actinopteri, Cypriniformes, Cyprinidae. The transcript is spliced from 3 exons. The record is from RefSeq and is a predicted model, not a curated record.